CUAUAUACUUUUAUGAGUAUUGACUCCCUUAUACUCAUAAGUUUUCGGUCCCUAGAUUUAUUCCAUUGAUAUAUCAUUUCCACCCGUUAGAUUAUACUAUUCAACCAACUAUCCACUCAAUCCUAGGGGACAAUUAUUAUUCUAAGUGGGGACCACCAUCAUCCUAACCACACAUCCCGUCAAUUAACGGUUAAAAAUUUAUGAGUACAAGGGGGUCUAUAUUAGCAUUAAAAGUAUAGUAGCCAGACUCUGCUACUAUAUUAUUGAUCGUAUCAAGCGUUUGGUGUUAUCAAGUUUUCGACUGUUGGAUGAAAGAAUAUGCUGUUAGGCUAAUAGUGGUUUCCAGUUAGGAUGAUAAUAAUCUCUUAGGAUUAAGUGGGUGGUUGAUUGAAUAGUAUAAACUGACGAAGGAAAUGAUCAAAAGGUAGAUCUAACGGCAUCGAUAGUAUCAAGAGUUUGGUACCGUCGAUAAUAUAGUAGCCGGACUCUCUCUCUAUGU
RNAcentral lists this long non-coding RNA (499 nucleotides) under Ananas comosus (pineapple). RNAcentral describes it as "long non-coding RNA (ACOM_LNC020750)". Lineage: Eukaryota; Viridiplantae; Streptophyta; Magnoliopsida; Poales; Bromeliaceae. The record is from RNAcentral.